Non-coding RNA from Podarcis lilfordi (Lilford's wall lizard), 456 nucleotides. The record is from the annotation of a GenBank genome assembly. Lineage: Eukaryota; Metazoa; Chordata; Lepidosauria; Squamata; Lacertidae.
UGAAGGUGAUUGACUACAUGGAAUUGGCGGAAAUGACUGGCAGAAUCUGAGACCAGGGAGAAGAGUCAGUGAAAGAAGACUGGAAGAAAUUUAAAGAUUAUUUACAAAAAUAUUGUAAAAUUAAGGAAUUUUAGAAGGAUGUUGGAUAGAAAUUAAGUGGUUUCCAGCUGUAAUGCUUUAAGAGAUACGAAAAAAGGCUUACAAAUGGGUAAAAGCUUAAUGGUAAGGAUUUGCUGAACUAACAAAUUGAACUGGAAUACAAAAAGGGAGGUACGAGGAGGUCCGGGGAAAUAAGUGCAAGGAAGAUAGGUUAUGGAAAAUUAACGUGUUUUUAACUGUUUUAUUUUGUAUGUUUCUUUUUAUUUUUUACUUUUUUGUUAUAUCUUAAAAACUUUAUACUUUUUUUCUGUAUUCUGUAUUUUCCUGUAUUUUUUGAAACUUUAAUAAAUAUCAUUU